GAUGAAGAACGUAGCGAAAUGCGAUACUUGGUGUGAAUUGCAGAAUCCCGUGAACCAUCGAGUCUUUGAACGCAAGUUGCGCCCGAAGCCUUUAGGCCGAGGGCACGCCUGCCUGGGCGUCACACGCCGUUGCCCCCCCCGCGCCUCCCUCGGGAGCGUCGGGGGGCGGACGAUGGCCUCCCGUGCGUCACCCCGCGCGGCUGGCACAAAUGCCGGGUCCUUGGCGACGAACGCCACGACAAUCGGUGGUUGUCGAACCUCGGUUGCCCGUUGUGCGCUUUCGUCGCGCUCCGAUCGGCCCGCGACGCUCCCCGCUCCGCUUCGGCCGAGCUUUCGACGCGACCCCAGGUCAGGCGGGGUUACCCGCUGAAUUUAAGCAUAUCAAUAAGCGGAGGA
RNAcentral lists this unclassified non-coding RNA (396 nucleotides) under soil metagenome. RNAcentral's name for it is "partial contains 5.8S ribosomal RNA, internal transcribed spacer 2, and large subunit ribosomal RNA". The stretch from base 1 to 122 matches the Rfam family "5.8S ribosomal RNA", at positions 35 to 154 of the family's 154-position model. The record is from RNAcentral.